GGAUCCAGACUUUGAUCCUGGCUCAGGAUGAACGCUGGCGGCGUGCUUAACACAUGCAAGUCGAACGGGAAACCUUUUAUUGAAGCUUCGGCAGAUUUAGCUGGUUUCUAGUGGCGGACGGGUGAGUAACGCGUGGGUAACCUGCCCUAUACAGGGGGAUAACAACCAGAAAUGGUUGCUAAUACCGCAUAAGCGCACAGGACCGCAUGGUCCGGUGUGAAAAACUCCGGUGGUAUAGGAUGGACCCGCGUUGGAUUAGCCAGUUGGCAGGGUAACGGCCUACCAAAGCGACGAUCCAUAGCCGGCCUGAGAGGGUGAACGGCCACAUUGGGACUGAGACACGGCCCAGACUCCUACGGGAGGCAGCAGUGGGGAAUAUUGCACAAUGGGGGAAACCCUGAUGCAGCGACGCCGCGUGAAGGAAGAAGUAUCUCGGUAUGUAAACUUCUAUCAGCAGGGAAGAUAGUGACGGUACCUGACUAAGAAGCCCCGGCUAACUACGUGCCAGCAGCCGCGGUAAUACGUAGGGGGCAAGCGUUAUCCGGAUUUACUGGGUGUAAAGGGAGCGUAGACGGAUUAGCAAGUCUGAUGUGAAAGGCAGGGGCUCAACCCCUGGACUGCAUUGGAAACUGCCAGUCUUGAGUGCCGGAGAGGUAAGCGGAAUUCCUAGUGUAGCGGUGAAAUGCGUAGAUAUUAGGAGGAACACCAGUGGCGAAGGCGGCUUACUGGACGG
Molecule: ribosomal RNA, 733 nt
Filed under: uncultured Bacillota bacterium
Lineage: Bacteria; Bacillati; Bacillota
Description: bacterial SSU rRNA
Rfam family: Bacterial small subunit ribosomal RNA
Source: RNAcentral